AGAGUUUGAUCCUGGCUCAGGACGAACGCUGGCGGCGUGCUUAACACAUGCAAGUCGAGCGGAAAGGCCCUUCGGGGUACUCGAGCGGCGAACGGGUGAGUAACACGUGAGCAAUCUGCCCCUAGCUUCGGGAUAGCUCCGGGAAACCGGGAUUAAUACCGAAUAUGACCUCGGUCGACAUCAACUGAGGUGGAAAGAUU
This 200-nucleotide ribosomal RNA is filed under the name uncultured bacterium. Its description in RNAcentral is "partial 16S ribosomal RNA". It matches the Rfam family "Bacterial small subunit ribosomal RNA", at positions 8 to 210 of the family's 1533-position model. The record is from RNAcentral.